This 431-nucleotide ribosomal RNA is filed under the name uncultured bacterium. Its description in RNAcentral is "partial 16S ribosomal RNA". It matches the Rfam family "Bacterial small subunit ribosomal RNA", at positions 338 to 795 of the family's 1533-position model. The record is from RNAcentral.
CCUACGGGUGGCUGCAGUGGGGAAUUUUGGACAAUGGGCGCAAGCCUGAUCCAGCAAUGCCGCGUGUGUGAUGAAGGCCUUCGGGUUGUAAAGCACUUUUAGUGGGAACGCGGUACCCGCAGAAUAAGCACCGGCUAACUACGUGCCAGCAGCCGCGGUAAUACGUAGGGUGCAAGCGUUAAUCGGAAUUACUGGGCGUAAAGCGUGCGCAGGCGGUUUUGUAAGACCGAUGUGAAAUCCCCGGGCUUAACCUGGGAACUGCAUUGGUGACUGCAAGGCUUGAGUGUGUCAGAGGGAGGUGGAAUUCCGCGUGUAGCAGUGAAAUGCGUAGAUAUGCGGAGGAACACCGAUGGCGAAGGCAGCCUCCUGGAUACACUGACGCUCAUGCACGAAAGCGUGGGGAGCAAACAGGAUUAGAUACCCUUGUAGUC